Molecule: ribosomal RNA, 1414 nt
Filed under: Triticum aestivum (bread wheat)
Lineage: Eukaryota; Viridiplantae; Streptophyta; Magnoliopsida; Poales; Poaceae
Description: partial small subunit ribosomal RNA
Source: RNAcentral
CAGGAACACGUGCGGGGCUGCGGCGGCGAUCCCCGUGGUGUCCCCGGACCGGAGGCCAUCGAGGACGUAGAGCGCCGGGAGCGCGGCACCAACGAGGAACCCGCCCAUGGUGUGCGCGGCGAGGAGGAGGCGCGCGAGGCCGAGGAAGACGGGCAAGGACGGGUUGGGCUUCUCAGGGCGCUUGCGGGAAGGCCAGCGUGGCCAGGAGAAGGUAGGGGAGGAGCAGGACGGCGAAGGCGAUCUCCAAGAGCGGCACGGUGGUCGAGAAGGCCAGCACGGCCUUGGCGCCCUGCGUGUUGAGAUGCUUGCAUGUUUCAUGACAUGUACCUGAAGGUCAAGGUAACAUGUUCAAGAACAAGAGGGUCCUCAUGGAGAGUAUCCACAAGUCCAAGGCUGAGAAGGCAAGAGAGAAGACCCUCUCUGACCAGUUUGAGGCCAAGCGUGCCAAGAGCAAGGCUAGCUAGCAGGGAAAGGAAUAUUGCGAGGAGGCAGGAGAGAUUGGCUCAGGUAAGAUGAUUUUCACUUGAGCCCUGUCUAUUUCCUCACAUAGUUAGAUUUGUGCUGCAUUAUAUUGGUACUGAAAUACAUAAUGCGUGCACAUGUCUCCUGUUGGAUGUUUCAGAGAUGCUUAUGCAGGGUUUCUUUAAUCUUUUUGGUUCAUGGUACCAGCUAAUGAAAUUUACGUGCUCUGAUGAUGAAUUCGUGCCAUGUCGAGUUGGAUUGGCGGUGGCGUAUUUUUCCUCUUGUAGUCAAAUUAGUGAGAUGCUUCGUUCUCUUCUUUAUGUGAACCUACAUGUAUGACCAGUGUAAUUAGGUGCAGUAGUUUUGGUCAAUGUCAAAGCAGAAGAGAGCUACAUGUAUGACAGUAUUGAAUCACGGCGAGAGAGUAAUGUAGCUUCGUCCCUCCCUGAUACCGUGCAAUCAUGUCUAAUGUCUUUCAUUAAAUCUCCGCGGAGGUGCCGGCCGGCCGGUACAUAUCCCGAUCUACUUGGAUGUGCGGACCUGGGAGUUGGAACAAUUCACCAAGAGAAGCCAGUUCGUGUAUAACAGAAUGGGUGGAAUUUAUCAUGAGAUCCUACCCAAAUCCGAGUACUUCUCCAAGGCACUGUACACCUUCCAUUUCGCCCAAAACGAUCUCUCUGUGGGCUACUUCACCAAUAAGACUACCAAACAGAUUGAGGCCUAUGACCCCGAUCCUAAGGAGCGGUUCACUGUGGCAAUGCAGAAACUCCGCGGAAAGCUGCUGCAGAUAGGUGUUGUGCUGGUAUAUUCUUUCUGUAGCCUUUGUUCAGCAAAUGCCAAAAAUAGUGUUUCUUUCAUGCGUACAUCGUUUCGUUUGGAGUUUUGCCCACUUGAUCUGAAUAUGAGGAAGGACAAAUAUCUUGUAGCAAAUCAGAUUCAGGUCAUGUCAUGA